UAUUAGCUAACUAACGUUAGCUGUAGUGCAGGCGAACUCAUGAGCUGCUAAAUGAGCUAACUUAGUUGGCUAGCUAGCUGUCUAGCCAACUUCAAAUACUCUAGAUAGCUAGCUAAGUUAAUUAAAUCUCACCAUUUUCCUAACUUCAUAUUAGUUAGCUAUCUUGAUGUGGUUUUUACAGUGAUAAACUCCAAAUGCAUUUGUAGGUAACGUUAGCUAGUUAACAGCCAUGGAGGAGGGUGAUAGGAUAGCAGCCCGACUUUUUAAAAUUUUAUUUCACCUUUUAUUUAACCAGGUAGGCUAAUUGAGAACAAGUUCUCAUUUACAACUGCGACCUGGCCAACUGUCAGUGAAAGAGUAGGCUAUUCUGGAUAGGGCAGGUACUUUUGUGUGGUUCCUGUCCCUAGAAGUGAGGAUGGAGAUAAUAGUAACAAUAUUCAGUGCGGUGUAAUUUGACUAUAAUGAAGUCUGUUUCUUGUGAGGUUUUCUGUCCUCAAAUAAAGAGCUAUGAAACCUGUCUACAUAUGAAGAGCAGUGGUUCACAGUCCUGGUCCUGGGGACUCAGAGGUGCACAUUUUUGUUUUUGCCUUAGCACUGCACAGCUGAUACAAAUGGUCAACUCAUCAUCAAGCUUCAAGUGAUGCUUUGUAACUGGAGAUUCCUUCAAAAUGAUUGCCUACAGUUACUGUGUAGGGCACUGCAAGGAUGGGUGACCAGGGCCAUCUGGGACUGCCUGCUGGAGGAAUUCAGUUGGGUGAAGGCUACCUGUGUCCUGCAUAACUUUGGGGUGGCAGGUAGCCUAGUGGUUAGAGCAUUGGGCCAGUAACCAAAAGGUUGCUAGAUCAAAUCCCUCGUGCUGCCCCUGAACAAGGCAGUUACCCACUGUUCCUAGGCCAUCAUUAUAAAUAAUAAUUUGUUCUUCACUGGCUUGCCUAGUUAAAUAAAGGUUCAAUAACAAAAUAACUUAAUGAGGAUGGACACGAGGCUCUGCAGGAUGUUUCAAGGAUGGGGUCCAGCAACGCAACAAGACGGAGAUCUUCACCUCCUACUUCUUCGAAGUGGGUGCUGUUCCCUGGCAACUCCAUAGACUAUGCACAACCAAAUGCUCUUUUAAGAGUCAUUCACAUUGCAAUAACAGUGUUCUUCCAUUUACUUACUGCAGUUAUUCAAUUCCCAGUUUCUCUACUUCUCGGGUGAGGCUGCUGUUUAAGUAAGGGUGUGAUGUCUGUACAAAAAUAAAACAGCCAUUUCAAAUCACUCAUACUGAAAAUAUGUAGAACAAUUAGACACCCUAUAACCCACACCUACACACAUGUAUCUGAUUGAUUGAUUGUGUUGCUCAGGUGUAUAACUGGCUCCUUCCACCUUGAAAGAAUAGGCAAGAUGGCCAACCAUGGAGAAUAGCAACACUUCAUUAUUUCUAUAACUACGCUAUAUUGUUUGUCCUCGUGUGUCCGUUCAUGUUUUCAGCAUAAAGUACUCUGCAGCCGCUUAGUGUGGUGUGGACACCAGGUGAGGCCACACACACAGAUUACUGUUCAACACUUUAACUACCUUAUUUUCACAAUCAGUCUCUCUUCACUUCAUCCCUUUCUCCUCUUCUCCACAAAUCCUCUAGGUUAUAUCAGCUGUGUCAGUGAACCCCUCCUGCAUCUGAACUGUCUACAUAGAAUUGUAAUUAGUGUUAUGUUUUACGGACUCCUGAGAGAACCAGCAAACCAGGCUGUAGUCUUGUGAAACAGUGGAUGUAAAGAAUCUAGCUAGCUUAAGCAUUUACUGCUAAUUUUAAUGUAUCAUUUUGGAAACUUGCCUUGCUGAUAUUUGCCAUGCAAUGCAGCUGGAGUAACGUAGCUAACUAUUUUCUUGCUUAUUGUGUAGUGGAGGAUAAAAAAAUACCUGUAUGCCUGUGGAUGUAUAGCUAGAGCUAUGUAGCUGAUCUGUGGAGGGAACCUUAAAUAUUAGGCCAGAACCUAGCUAUCAUAGCCGGUUGUAUCGACUUAAAAACAUUAAUGGUAAUAACAUUGUAGCCUGUAAUUUGAAUAUUCACUGAUCAUGCACUCUACCUUGGCAAAUAAAGAGCGAGAUCGCAUUAUUAA
This is a long non-coding RNA of Oncorhynchus nerka (sockeye salmon), 2096 nucleotides long. RefSeq lists it as uncharacterized. The transcript is spliced from 2 exons. Lineage: Eukaryota; Metazoa; Chordata; Actinopteri; Salmoniformes; Salmonidae. The record is from RefSeq and is a predicted model, not a curated record.